RNAcentral lists this long non-coding RNA (7542 nucleotides) under Homo sapiens (human). Its description in RNAcentral is "HSALNT0122303". Lineage: Eukaryota; Metazoa; Chordata; Mammalia; Primates; Hominidae. The record is from RNAcentral.
UGAGAGAAAGGGAGGAGUUUGGCGGGCUGAGGAGGGAAAGAAGUCCCUUCCAGUUUGAAAUAUGAUGGAAAGCAGAGACGAGAGAUGAUUUCCUAAGAAGAUCCCAGUAUGCAGAGCCAGGACUCUGGCAUUAAGAAAAUGCUACAGUUUGGAUGUUUGUCCCUCCAGAUCUCAUGUUAAAAUUGGAUCCCCGGUGUUGGAGGUGUGGCCUAAUGAGAGAUAUUUUGGUCGUGAGGGAGGAUCCCUCGUGAAUGGAUUAAUACUCUCUUGGGGUGGGUGAGUUCUUGCCUAUUAGUACUGGAGAGAGCUGGCUGUUAACAAGAGCCUGGCACCCCACCCCCUCCCUCUUGCUUUCUUUCCCACCCUGUGAUCUCUGGACACUUCAGCUGCACUUCCCCUUCGGAAGCAGCCUGAGGCCCGCAGCAGAGGCAGAUGCCAGUGCCCUUCUUCUUGUACAGUCUGCAGAACUAGACACAGUUACGGAACCCUCAGAUGGAGAAAAUGUCUUCCCUCUGCUGCAGGGGUGAAGAGAAGAAGAAGACCCCUCAUGCACCCAAUGCACCAGCAUCACAAGGAAUCCAGUGCCCUCUUGUCGCCCGAGUCCCACUGACUCAUCGCAUGAGACCGGAGCUGCCAGAGGGAGGUGGCACUGGAGCCUUGUGAAGAAGGUGCCUACUUCCCCUUCUGCCAUUGCCAUGAUUGUAAAUUUUCUGAGGCCUGACCAGCCAUGCAGAACUAAAGAAGACUCCAAGAGCUGACCAGAAGUCAGAGAGAGAGAUUUACGAGAACUAUCAAGAGAGAGCUAUGAUCACCAGUCUCUUAAUAAUUCACAAAUUAAUUGCAAGCCUAAAAUACAGUUAUCUCAACAUGCCUAUGAGGUAACUGUGGAAACAGAGAUAAUGGAAAACAAAGUGGAUUAUUACUAUUUUCCAAGAAAAUACUGCACUUCCCUUCUAGCCCUGAUGACCUGUGAGUGCUGAAAAGAAACCUACAGCAGUGUGGAUAGAAGAAGUUCAGAAAGAAGGCCAAGCAGGGAAGCACAGACAGGAGGACAAGGUGUGGCAGUUGGGAAAAUAAACCCUAAGACUGGGUCAAAGCAAAUUAAUCCCUCCUCACACGUGCACAUAGACUCCACGUUGGGGGAAGAAGCAGGUAGGAAUCCGAUUCCUAGUCAAGUUGCUGAGCAAAGCUGGAGGACAAAGAUAGUGGCAGAUCCUGAUGAAGAAGCUGGAAGGAGCUGGAUGAGGCUGAGCAGCCACCGCAGGAGCACAGUUCCUUACAGUCAUGCUGUAAGCAAGUACAAGAAUAACUGGCCCUGCUGUCCUCCCAUCACCAAGGACUUUAAGGGUGUGUGAGCAGAGACCAUUUUGCAUUCACUGCAGAAGAGGAAGACGAUGUAAAGAUGGAUGAGCCCAGUCACCAGGGUACCAUGGGUCUCAGGCUGGCAGCUAUGAGCCAGAGUGCUUCACUAGCUCAGCAAAUAUUUACACAGUUCCUACAAUGUGCCAGCUGCCUUUAUCCUAAGUGCUGGGAGUACAACAGUGAACACAGCAAAGUCUGCACCCCAGUUGGGAGGAACUCAUGAUCACAUGUGAAAGAAAGCAUGUCAGCAGAUAGGACACAGAGAGGAAGUGGAUGGAAUGGGGCCUUGAUGGAUGCUCAGACAUGAAGACAGACACCUCCUUGACUGACACAGAAAGAAGGCCGAGCUCAUCUGCAAUAAAAACACCAACAAAGAAAAUGCGAAGGUCACGGAAGGAUUAUAAGUUUGCAUCUGUCCGUCCGAGGUGGCAGCAGAGCCACUGAGUCCAGGACCAGGACUUGGUGUCCUUGAGCUGGAGAGUGAGCAGUGAGGGACAGAGUCAGCCUGCUGCCACCAUCCCACCCUGACAGAGAGUGCCCCUCCAUGGAAACAAAGGGUGUGUGCUUGACCCCAGGUGGGAAGAGGCAGAAUCAAGCAGAUUAAAAAGUCCUUGGGAGCAGAAUUCCUGCACUUGGCUUCUGUCCCAGACUUACUUCUAAGUUGGGCCACUUUCAACCAGGCGCAUGAAUCCACAUCAAGAGACCAGGGAAUUCCCCUUAAAGAGCAUGCUAAACAUAUUUUUCUACCUGACACCCAGAGCCUUCUCCAAAUAGCCAGCAUCUCUACGUCAGGAACUGCUGGGCUUCAGCAUGAGUGGGGAUUCAAGCUCUGGGCUCACUGCAGUCUGGCAUCACAUCCAAGCCCCACCCACACCCAGCUCAUCUCAGCUGCCCAGCGCUCACUACCUCAGCUGACUCAAGCCCUCUUCCAGAGACAAUGCAUCCCUUAAAUGAGACAGCCAGGUGGGAAGGGGCCCCCAGAGAAACUCCAACCAGUCUGUGCACUAGAGUGGAGCCACAGAAGUUCUGUGCUGUUUGCAGCAGGGAGAAGCCUGGCCCCUCCUCUUCCUGGGUGGAACCUGGGAUUCAAUCUGUGAGGUGGGAAGCGCACAGGCAAAAAGCACACUCUCUUGCUUCACUAAGAGUCUCUGUUACCCCUUUUUUCCCUUUUUGCCCAAUAAAUCCCAUUUUUCUCACUCUUCAAAUCAUCUACGAGCCUAAAUUUUCCUGGCUGUGUGACAAGGACCCUGUCUUUAAUUGAGCUAAGGAAAAGUCUCGCAACAUUAACAUUCCUUCCAAAUGUGCCUGUGGCUUUGUACACUUCUGUUUCUCUUGCCAUGAUAUCUCUUGUGCCUAACUCUGUCUGGCAGGUAGUAAGUGUUUAAUAAAUAGCUAAGAAAAAAAAAUUAAAAGGAAGGGAGAGGAGAAGGAGGGAUGACAAGCUCACUAGCAUUCAAAUAAAGUCACAACAAGGACUUGGUGGGGUGGUGUAAGGAUCCAAGCCCAUUGGAUAAAUGGAUACAAGAUACGAAUGUUCCCUUCCAGCCUCAUUUGUUACAUCUUUGACUUAAGCCCUAAGUGUUGAGCAUUUUUCUGGCACUCCCCUGGAGAAUCGCCUGCAGAUUCGGUUACAUGGUGGAUUCAGCAGACUCCACACACUGAGCUCUGUGCCAGGGCCUGGCUGUUUUCUGGCUCAAUCCUCUCAGCAGCCCUAGAAGUGGAGUUUGGUACUCCUGCUGUGGAGAUGAGGAAACAAGACUCUGAAAAUUUAGGAGAUGGCCCCAACCUGGCAGCUAGUGGCACCUAGCACUGAGCUCCAUCUUGCCCUCUGGGCCCAGAACUCCUUUGGUGCCUGUGGUGUGCCUGCGAUUGCCUUGUGAGGUGGGGCUUACUGUGUAGAAAGAGCCAAAAGUAUUCAGCAAGAGAUCUAUGGUCCAGCAUGGUGACUAUACUUAAUAACAACAUACUGUGCACUCCAACAUUACUGACAGAGUAGAUUUGAAAAGCUUUCACCACAAAUAAAUGACAACUAUGUAAGCUAACGUAUAUGCUAAUUAGCUGAAUUUAGCACUUCCACAGUGUGUACAUAUUUCAAAACAUGGUUUUGUACACCAUAAAUAUAUACAAUUUUACUUGUCAAAUAAAAAAUAAGUAGUAAGAACAAAAGUUUUAAGAACUGUCGUAAAAUGAAAUCAAGCCAUUUCUGCUACCGGACAGACUCGCCUUCCAGGCUCCAUGCCUCUUCUUUCCUCUUGACUUAAACUAACUCCCUGGACUAAAACCUUGGGUCCUGCUACCUUCACCAUAUGCUGCCCAUCAGCCCUUGGUGGCCCCUUCAACAGCGGGGCCUGGGCCAUCAGAUCCUCGGCCUUCCUACUGUGGCCUCUGCCUGCCAACUUGUCCUGACAUCUCCCAAAGUGAAAAUGCUCAUGGCCAAAUUUGGCCCCAGCCCAGGGCCUCGGCUUCGCAGCACGAGCAGGGCCACAGCUCUGGGUGCCUGAGUCGUGCGUCAUCCACAAGCAAGGGCACUGCUCAUGCUCCUGUUGCCAGUGGGCAAACCAGGGCAGGACUUGAUGUUAUUUGUCCCAUUAAUCAUGAUCUUGGAGAAAAAAAAUCUUGAGAUGACUAUUUCAGCACACCACAUAGUAACUGAAUGUUAGUCACAUCAAUCCAUUUUCAGACAGCAAAGGAGGCAAAUUUGAAGAAGCAGAACAAAUCUAAGGAGUGGAGUCCUCAUCCAUGUCGUGGAAGUCUCAUCAGUGAUUUCAUGCCAAGUCAAGGCCGAUGCAGAGGAAGUAACUGUGGACCAGCAAUGAGAGAUUUGGCUUCUAUCCCUGUGCCAUCCUGACUCCCCUGUGACUUUCCCUGUCUGUAAAUGGAGAAUCUUGGAGUCCCAGGCCCCAGCUGGCAGUCACGAUGGUUAUUUGAGCAGAACCCUUGCAGUGUGGCAUGCUUUGGAGAAGAGAACCAGCACGUGCUAACAGCCAUUGAAGAGCAAUGACAGCACUGCUCCCAUGUCCACUGAGGAACAGAGUGACUGCUGUUCCUCUUGCUGGUGCACCGUUCUCCAAUGACACUGGCGGAGAGUCAAGGAGUGAACUGGGAGAGGAAGCAAUUGUAUCGGAAAAAUAUCGCCUAAACAGAAGAGUUCCCCAGAAGCUCAAUGUGAUAGUUAACUGCAUGUGUCAAAUGUGCUGGGCCACAGAGCCCAGAUAUGGGAUUAGACAUUAUUCUGGGUGUGUCAGUGAGAGUGUUUUGGAUGAGAUUAACAUUUAAAUUAAUAGGCUGUGGGCAAAGCAGGACCUUUGGCUGUGACCAAAACCUAUCCCCAUGGGAUCCUGUAAGACACAAAUGAGGAAACCUCAGCCUGCCCCACUUUUGUUCCCAAUGGGGCACGUAGGAAGGGCAGCUUCACCAUAGGGCUUAAAAUUGGCCCUUAGACCCAAAGCACUUAGACCUGCAUCCUACUCAGGGAAUCUCUCCUUUAUUAUUGCCCCUCAAAACUUGAUACCAGUUUCUCCAAUGUUUGAUUCAAGUAUUAGAAAAUGCUUCAGAAUAUCCAUUGAAAGAGAUAAAGGCAAUAAUAAACAACUCUUCAUUAAGUAUCUACUAUAUUCAUAGCACUGUUAUAUCCAUGGGACAAUAAAGUAAUUAACCUUCAUGCUGAACUUUCCCAUGCAUCUUACUAUUUGCUAUUAACAAACAUCUUGUGAGAAAAAGAAUAUAAGCACAUGUUGUAGAUAAUGAAAAUGAGUUUUAGAGGGUUCAAAUUGAGUUGUGCAAUGUGAGGAAUGUGGAAUUUGGAUUCAGGUGGGCGGUUCAUCCUAACCUUGAGAGUUUUACUACCAUGAAUCUGUCUUAGAGGAGAAAGCAUCACUGACUUCCCCUGCAUAUUUAUGGACUCAAAUUCAUCAUUGCUUGGUCCCCAAGCACCUCCACCUCUAUAUUGGCCUGCAGCUUAGGGGAGUGUUUUUUUUUUUUUUUUUUUGAGACAGUUUCACUCUUGUCUCCCACGCUGGAGUGCAAUGGCACUAUCUCAGCUCACUGCAACCUCCGCCUCCUGGGUUCAAGCGAUUCUCCAGCAUCAGCCUCCUGAGUAGCUGGUAUUACAGGCACCUGCAACCACGCCCAGCUAAUUUUUGUAUUUUUAGUAGAGAUGAGAUUUCACCACGUUGGCCAGGCUGGUCUCGAUCUCCUGACCUCAGGUGAUCCACCUACUUCGGCCUCCAAAAGUGCUGGGAUUAUAGGUGUGAGCCACCACACCCAGCCAAGGGAGAUUUUUAUAUGACCAUUUGGAGGAAAAUUCUGUAAGCAAUAUAAUUAUUAUUUUUAAAAAUUACCUUUCUCUUAUAAUUUAUAAGAAAUAUAUCAGUCAGGAGAAAGAGGCAGAAAAAAACCAAUCUAAGUAAUUACUGGUCUUCUCAACUGUCAAUCCACAUCAAAAUUAAGCCUGCUCCAUCUUUGUUGCCACGCUCAUAAUUUAUGAAAUAUUUGUCACUGCAUAUGCACUUUGCACAGUUGAAUUUAUCAUGAGUGAAGUGUUUCAUUUGUUUUCUCAAUAAGCUAGCAUUCUACAUUUCUGCAAGGGUAAGUAUGCAAGUUUUGCACAUUAAAAUAUACAUAGAGGUCUCAUUAGUAACUUCAAAAUAUUCUCAGGUCAGUUUCUGAGGCAGGAAAGCAUUUCUCAAGGGUCGGCUAGGUGUCAGGUGCUGGGAUGGGGCCUUCACAGUAACAGACCAGGGGCUUCUUCACAAAGCCUUUUGUUUGGCAGGGUAGGGGAAUGAGUAACAAAUAAACAAGAAACUGCAGGACUAUUAUGAUUGGAAUGAAGAAAGCAGCCAUCUCAGGUGGUCCAUCAAGGCUCCUUUAGAUCAAGGGAAAAGAAAUGUCCCUUAAGGAGAUGGCAUUUGGGCUGAAAUAUGAAUGUGAGAAGGAGCCAACAACUCACCUUGCAAACAUUCUAGGAACAGCCUUAGGCGGAGGGACAGGUGCAAAAGCCCAGAGGCAGGGAUGCUUGCACUGGGGCGGGACAGAGGUCAGCACAGCAGGGAUGACAUGGUUCCCUAGGGGGAUGCGUGAGUCCUUUUAUAAUAAAAUAUAAUAAAACAGUACAAUAAGGCUUAAUCUCACAAGCAAGUGCUCCAAGUCAUAGCCGAGACAACAUCAGAUUCCUUCAAGUGGAAACUGUGAUUUGUGGGAUUCCAAAUGAAGAAGAACCUUAAUAUUUUGUAAAGAAAAGGAGUAAAGUUCAAAUUAAUAGGGGAAAAAAUGGGGAGACAGUUCAGAAAGCCCAGAUGCAUGUUAGGACUUUCAGGAAUCAUUUGAGAAAAGAUAUAAAAUAUACAGCUUUGCACCCCACUUAAGACAAAGCAGUAAACAAAUCGAUGCCAUAUUUGGUUAUACUAAUUUCUAUUUUACUCUAAUCCUCAACAAUGCUAAGGGAAAAGUCCAAAACAGCAGAGCGUAAGGCUCUCCAGAGGUGGAAAGCCGUUCUUAGGCAAUCAUGAUUGGGAACACAUGCUUGGCGUCAUUCAUCACAGCAGAGGAAUCUCUGAGGAAGUGUCAUAAUUGGGGGUAGAAACAUGAACAGAUCUGUGAACCCCCAAAAGUUUUGUUUAAAGUAUUUUUAGUAGACAAAUAAUCAUUACAUAUAUUUAUGAUGUCUAGCAUGAUGUCUUGAUAUGCGUACACACUGCAGAAUGAUUAAAUGAAGCAACUGAGCACAUCCAUCACCUCACAUACUACCUACUCUUGUGGUGAGAGCAUUUAAAAUCCACCCUCUUAGCAUUUUUUAAAUAUACAACAUAUUGUUAUUAACUGUAGUCACCAUGCUGUAUAAUAAAUCUCCUGAACUUAUUUCCAUCUAAUUGAAAUUGUAUUUCCUUUGAUCAACAUCUGCCCCACCCCUUCCCACUCCUCCCCACUGCCCCCAGCCCUUGGCAACCAGCAUUCUACUCUCGGCUUCUGUGAUUACAACUUUUUAAGAUUCCACAUAUCAGUGAGAUCAUAUAGUAUUUGUCUUUCUGUAUCUGGCUUAUUUCACUUGGCAUAAUGUUCUCCAGAUUUAUCCAGGUUGUCACAAAUGACGGGAUUUCCUGCUUUUUUUAAAACUGAAUGGUAUUCCAUUGUGUCUAUAAACCACAUUUUCUUUAUCCAUUCACUCAGUGAUGGACAUUUAGG